RNAcentral lists this long non-coding RNA (37566 nucleotides) under Phoenix dactylifera (date palm). RNAcentral describes it as "long non-coding RNA (PDAC_LNC002185)". Lineage: Eukaryota; Viridiplantae; Streptophyta; Magnoliopsida; Arecales; Arecaceae. The record is from RNAcentral.
UUAUGUUAUAGGGACGAUUUGGAUUGAGGGAAAAAAAAAAGUUUUUUGAUGGAGCUGAAUAUGAUAUGUGAGAACUGGGAAGGUUAAAUUUGCUUUUCUUUGAAUGGAUACUUGAACUAUCUUGCUGCAAUAGGAAGGUUAGCUCGAAUUUACUCGUCUUCUAGAAUAAAGUAAUCAAUUACGAGGAAAGGCCCACUGAUCUGGGUAGCUAGAAAGAGAACCUAUUGAUAUGUCUUAGUUAGGGUGCAUAAAAAAUGGAUUUCACGGAUGUAUGAUAGCUGGGGUAAUUAUGGAGAUGAGUUAAAUGUUAUGGCUAUGAGAUUUACAAUAAGCGGGUUUUUACGGAGGAAUUCAGAAUCUGAAAAGGGGAGGACUGAUGCAAGGAGAUUUAGAGAAGCAUUUUAGAGGUUGGAGGUUGAUUCCCCUUGAAGGAAGCCCCAACUCCUUAUGUUUAUAAUUCAUAUAAUGUUAGAAGGAUUAAAUCAGCGGGUGCAUUGAUUGUUAUACUAAGUGUUUACAGAGGAGAUGGCUGAGUGGAGUAGGGGUUAGGAGAUGUGGUUCAUGUAGAGAUAGAGAUUGACAUUUGGCUUCCAAGGAAACAAAAACAAAUUUUAGACCUCAGCAGCCAUGGGCCACAUGAUGCUGCACAAAGCCUUUCUGACUAUAACAGUGGAAUGUUUGUAUGACUCUUGGUGAUAGACUAGCCUAUAGCCUAGACAUAGUCUAGGCAAUCACCUAAUUGACGGGCUUGGUACAAAUUCUGCCAAAUUAUUCUUUGACUCAAGUACUUCAUUUUCAUAAUUAGAUCUUUGAACUGUUUCAAAACGUUAACUUUUAAGAUACCUUGAAACAUAAGCAAUCAAGACACUUUCAAGUCAUCUUAUAAUUUGUUAAACUUUCGAAUUAUAUUUUAAUUUGUUAAAUUUAUACUGAGUUCGUAAUAAAUGUAAUAGAAGUAAUGACAUAUAUUAUUGUUGUUGUUUUAGCUCAAAUUCUGAAGUUUGUCAAGCUUCCUUAGUUGUCUAUCCUGCUAGAGAUUGGAGCUAAGGUUGAUAUUGUUGAUGAAAGAUCCUUUUCGUGCUUACUUGUUUAACACUUAAUUUUAGGUUUUUUUUAUUAAACAUUAUAAUUUUUCUUUGAGAUUUAAUCGAAAGUUUGUCGCUCCCUUAUAUAUGUGUCAUGUAAGAAAAAGAUUGCAAGAAAAUACUUUAUACCAUAUUUAUGUGUGCAUGUACAUAUUUAGAUACAUACAUGUUUAAGAACGUAGCUCUAGGUACACACGUGUUUAUGUGUUUGCACAUGUAUGUUUUUACCUAUACAAACUAAUGUUAUAUUUCUGCAUAUGAACUCAAAUAAACUAAUGUUAUGUUUCUACAUAUGAAUUCAUAUAUAGAACAAAUUCAUUCAUAAAUGUAUAUAUAGUACAGAUAUAGUUACAUGUACACAUGAAUGUACACGUGGAUCUUUGUCAAUGUAUAAGUAUAUGUGCAUGAUAGUUUAGGCAAGGCUCACCUAGGAGUUUGCAUGCCUGUCUGUCACCCAUGCAGUAGCCUCGUUCCUAGGCAACCAUCUGUAACGACUUUGGUUGUAACCAUCCUAUGAUUUAAUAGUACCGGUACCAAAUAUAUGCUCGUGUAUUGUCCAAGCUCUGAGGUUCAGAGAAAUUCAAUAUCAUAUCAAACAUAUCAAACCUCUUCUAUUCCACAUACAAAACGAAAAGUAACCAAUUACCACUAAUGUUAAUGUAUAUACAAUUAUAAAUGGAAUCUCAAUUGACUCAAAGACAAACUUGCCCAUGCAAACAGUACAUUAAGUAUGGCUUGGCAUCAAUACUCAAGUAAUAAGGCUGAAUCAACAAAACCUUUGCAGCAUUCAUAGGCUAGAAUUCUAGUUGCUGAAUAAAUAAAAGACAAGCCAAAGGCAUUGACGAUUCUUCAUUGCAAGUUAAGGAAUUACCAUGCUUUACUGUGAUCCCCUGCUAUGGUCCAAUCCUAUCAGUAGAAAAUCAGUAUGGGAGGACAAGUUUCAUUUUUGAAAAAAAUAUUAGCAUAAAAUUUCAACAUCUUUUUGACAGUCACCAAAUCCACGCAUGAGUAAAAUCUACAGAUCAGCCAGGUUCAUGCAUAUGGAUGGAAAGUCAUCCUUUGUAAUGUUAGAAUAGGGGACAUUGGCUUGCCUGAGUCUGAAUUUGCAAGCAAUCUUGGCAGUCUCAUUGAAGUCCGCAGGCAGCUUUGGCAUUUUGGUUCUUGGAGUCUAUAAUUCCAAUCUAAGUAGGUUGACACACAAAAUUGGAAAAUGGCGUUUAUAUGGCUAAGCUAUCUUUAGAGAAGGGUAAGAUUGUGUCACCUUAGCAGCUCUAUCAUAGAAGAAAGAUGCCCCAUAUGGGUUCUUCUGCUAACCUCCACCUCCACCAUUCCACACACCAAUCUCAUGAUUUAGCCUUUGCUGACCAUAUAAAUUCUCAGUUUCUCAAAACUUGAAAAAAGAAGCAGAGUGCCUUGAUCAGAUGCAACCAUCCCAUGAUUUAGCCUUUGCAAGGACUUCUAUAGAUUAAGUGAAGGAGAAGAAUUGAGCUGAAAUUUUAACUAUUAGAAAUGUUAAAGUCUAGAUGCCGAUAAGUUAUAUGAACACAACUUUGCAACUUGAGCAGCAUUUCAUGAACCGUGCCUUUUUUGGCAUAUAUUUGAACAUAAAAUAUACUUUUCUGCAUAUCUAGGUAUGCGCAUCUUAGACCUUCAAGCAUACUCUCUUUUGUGCUAUCAAUCUCUUCUGUUAGCUAACCAAUUGAACCCCAAAGCUUAAGUUGGUAGAGAUGGGUUAACAAUGUGCAUCAGGCUUAACAACCACCACCCACGGGGCAACCUGGACCAUGCAUGUGGAGGGACCACAAUGAGUCAAAAUAACAAUUGGGUUAAUUAAAUCAGUAAUUAGCAUGGAGGGGAUUCCAACUCAUGACCUCCAGCAAACCUGUGCCAGAUACCAUGUUGACUAACCAAUCAACCCAAAAGCUUAAGCUAGUAGAGAAUGUGUCGACAAUGCAGAUCAGGCUUCACAUCUUCAUUACAAGUAAAAUUUCAUCCUUUCUCAUGCAUACAUCGUAAAGGAUAAAACCAAGCAGAUGAGUAUGACCCUCUUCAUUCCAUGGAUGAUAACUUAUGGUGAGCUGUCUGGGAAUGUGGUUCUUUCCUCUUUCUUGUUUAUGUUUCUGUUGUUAUUUGAGAUUGUGCAGAUAGGUUUAUCUGGUUGAGAAUGUCUUGUGCUGUUUUGUUCUGUUUGUUUGUGUUCCCCCUCUCAAGGAGGUUUUGGCUUCUGAGGUUGUUUGUUCUACAUCUGGUAAAACGAAGAAGUGCUCAAAUGCAUAUAAUAAAAGAAAAUCUGACAAAAUUUUAAAGCUUUUGUUGAUUGUGUUCAUAUGCAUAUAAAAUAAAAAAAAAAUCUGGCAAAUUACUCCUUUGUGUGCUAAUAAUAUUCAUAUGUAUCUGAACCUUGAGUAACAAAGUUGGUGCCUGCAAAAGUGAGUGAUGGAGCAAGAAUGCCUAGGCAAUGACGGAGUAAAGCUAGGAAGGACGUAGUAGAAGAUCAUGUCUAAGGAAGAGUAGAGAUUGUCUCGCUAGAGGAUAGAUGAAUUGAUUGGUAUCAUUUAUUCAUAUGUAGAAAAGUUGACAUGAAGUGAUCGUAGGAGGGCAUUAUUUUAAUAUGAAAGCCUAAAGACUGUGGUAAGAUUGAAGGGUGGGACUUGAGGAAAACUGGAUGGCUAUUGAGAGGUGAUUCAAAACACCACCAUUAACUAGGCUUUACCCUGUGAUAAAAAUGAUUGAUGUCAUUUGUGAAGCCAACAAAUUAGAUAUGAUAAAGUUUAUAAAGUUUAGGCAGUAAAUAUCUGUGGUAAUUUCUGUCACAGUUGUUUCACUUGUUUAAUUCUUGUAGGUUUUUUUAUUUUUUGCCCUAUACAGAAGACUCUCAGCUAUCUGCUUCCUUGUGCAAUAAGUAUGUCUGCUUGCAAAAAUGUUAUUGAAGUCUCAAAUAAUCUGUUUUAUUCACAUAAUCUGCCUGUAACUGAUUUGAGUUUCAUGCAUCAGUUGUGGCGCAUAUGUAGGUUUCUAAUUUUCUAUUGGUUUUUGGUUUUUGGAGGUUUCUGAUUUACUACAUGUAAUUAUCUAUUGCUUGAAUUAAUGACUCUUGCAUUAAGUUCUCUUGAACUAAAUACAGACAGAUUUGACUUGACACAACAUUUUCUAAAUUUCUGACAUCAAGAAUUUUGGACUCAACCCAAUUAUGAAUUUGUUGUACUCAUAUUCUAUUCCAAUUAUUUUUAUAUCUCACGGAGACCCCUUUUUGACCAUUACAUUUGUGAGUUACUUUAGGGUGUUUUUGAACAACCCGAUAUGAAGGCCAUCAUUUGUCUCAAACAGUCCUUUUUGUCUACUCUAGCAUGCCAUAAGGGAUUGAGGAGCUAUUCAUCCCAGAUGGUACAUGCCAUGGGCUGCCGAACCGCGCGGUUCGGCCCAUACCGAGCCGAGCCGACCUGGUAGGGGACCGAGUCGGUUCACCUGUGGGGUCCCUGCUGGGUCAGUUCACCUGUGGGGUUGGAACCAAAUCCGAAUUGGUCGGAACCGGUCCCGAACCGCAUGGAAUCGGUCCGAACCGGCAGUUUGCACCGAUUCGUACCGGUUCUGAACCGGUUCUACCCCUAUCUCCUUUUCUUUUUAAACGAUGGGAUGUUGGGAAAGCCUAAGAACAUUCUUAGGCCUUCCUAACAUUCUCCUUCAAGCCCCCAUGCAUUGCGGCCAAAAACGUGAUGAUUCAAGAAGGAUCCAACCCAAAAUAAGGUAUACUUUCUUUUCCCUGCCUCAUUUUCUUCUUUUUUUCAAAGUCAAAAAAUGCCUCAAAAUUUGCAAACUGAGCAAAGAUCGUGCCAAAAUUUUUGAUUGUGGCAUGAUUUCAUGAUUUGUUAUAGAUAUAUAUGGAUGAUCUACAUAAUUCCACAAAAAAUUUUAAUUUUUGAAUUAUAUAAUUUUAAAAAUUAAAAAUAUAUAUUUUUUGAUUAAAAAUAAAAAAUAAAAUUCAAAAAAAGACUGUAACAUUAUAAGUGUAUUUACAUAUAGGAGACGGGCUCCUCGAGAUUAUUCAGGAGGUCAUAAUGCAGCUACAAAUGACUUCGCACAUGGAAUAGGAUUCAUAGACGUAUCAGCUUCCGAGUCAUAUACUGGUUUCUAUUGCUUACAACCACUGGCAGCCUAUGAUCCAUAUGGAUACAAAUAUAGAUAUGGUGCAUUUGAGAUAUCGUCUUUCGAUGGCUAUUAUCCUACGUAGUCCGCAGUAUCUUACGGGUCGGAUUUUGCUGCCGGCAUAUUCGGAUGGGCUCCUCCACAAUCAUAUUAUCAGCUAGAGGACACCUCUUAAAGCCAAAGCUUCAGCAAAAGAUCUGAGAGUGGUUAUAAGUUAGAACGCAUUCCUUAUGGGAUGGGCGUACAGGAUUACAAUGCCGCUUGGUUAAAGGGGUGGGUUGAGGUGCAUUCUGAUUAUGUUAAUGAUCCGGAUAUCUAUGAGAGGCAUUGCCACUCGACAAGAUUUUAGAUAUCGAUAUAUAUGUUGUACUUUAAAUAUAUGUAAUUGAUUGUAUAAUUUUAUAUUUUGUAUCUUACUAAUUGAUUUUAGGAUAUUUCAUAUUGCUUCUUGUAACAUACAACAUUAAUCAUUUUAUAUUUUGUAUCACUUAAAAACAACAAGAUGCAUUAUUUAAGUUAUAUUAGGAUUAUAGAAACAUCAAAUUAUACUUAAAAUCAUUGAAAAAAUUGAAAAAAAAAUUAAUUACCAAUAAAUCAAAUCUAAAAAGGCUUAAAAAAAUUUGGCAUGCACGCCACGACGUACUGUGUGUCGGUAUGGUACCGAACUAGUACUAUACCGAGCCGCCCGCCGAUCAGUACAGGUCUCGAAACCAAUUCAGCAGACCUUGGUGCAUACCAUAUGAACCACAAACAGGCAGUCAUCACUCUCUAACACCGGUAUAUGGGUGAACUGGAACAAUGCCACCCAAACCAACAGAUGCCUAACUAGCACCAGCCAGUGCGUGCUCAAUGCUACCCAUGUCUGUGUCAAUAUGGCAUGUACCACAUUACAUGUCCUACCAAUGGGUGGUCAGCAACAUAUUUUGAUUCCUGCAUAAACUAGUGCCUGGUUUUUUGCCCCGUCCAGAUCUCCUGGGUACAUGACUUGGUCUUUGACAGAUCACUUAAAGAUUGCUUUGCUCCUGGUUAGCACAUCCUGUUGAUCCCUUUCUCUAUAAAUUUUCUCUUUACACAUCAUGUCAUAUGAGUGGGUGGUCAGCACCAUAUUUAGAUCCUUCCAUAUCAUUUGUGCCUGGUUUUUUGACCCUACCAGAUCUCCUGGGUACAUGACUUGGUCUUUGAGAGAUCACUUAAAGAUUGCUUUGCUCUUGGUUAGCAUGUCCUAUUGUUCCCUUUCUCUAUAAAUUUUCUCUUUACACAUCUAAGUUUUCAGCAUAUUCAUAUGCUUGCAGCAAAGCACAUUGGUUGAAUAGUACUUCAUCUAGCUGAGAAAUUAAUCAAAGUCAUUCACCCUUUUGGUUACGCAAGGUCCAAUUAGUUCAGUCAAGUAAAAUUAAAACUUCAAAACAUCUUGUUUCCUUUCUCCGAAACUAUUCAGCUCAAUAUAAGUGGUCCCUUUUAGCAAACACGGACUAAUUUAUGUCAAAACUUAACUUAUCAUGCAUAAAAUUUCUCUACUGCAGUAAGACCUCCUAAAGGGCUGCUUGGGUUUCCCAACAAGCUGUCAUCCAUUUAUAAUUAAGCCCUACAUAUUUGCAUAAAGAAAGCAUAAUUUAGUUACACUUUAGAUAUAUAACAUGCUGUUUACCUUUUUGGUCUCUAAGAAGAGGAGUUGUGAGACCAUAUUGUUCUUUGAUCAUGUGCGUUCCACUUGAAUUUGUAGAGUGCCUUGGAUAUGUGACAGGUCAACAUGCUUCACUUAACAUGGGAAACUCCCUUUUGUUGGAGGACACAAUUGAUGUCUUUUUUUAUGGUGACAGCACAAUUGAUGUCUUUAGGGAGCAAACUUUUUACCACUUUGGUAGCUUUAACCUUAUUUUGAGCUUGAGCUCUCAUUAUAUGAUUGCCAAAUUAAAGUUAUUUCCUGAUUGUUUUAUCAAUUCUGUCCAAACAACAUUUGUUUGCUGGACAUUCUCUAAUAUUUCACUGUACACUUGCUUGCUUUGGCUGGUGUUCUGUUAUCGUAAUUUUCUCAAAUAUAUCCAGCCAAUGCAAACUGAGGUAGCUCAAGUUGUCCAAGCCCAGUAAGAAACCUAGAUUUCUUUUCUUUAAUAAAAUUAUAGUACUCCUAGAAAGCAAACCCUUCAAUUGGGAUGUGUCAGGAAUCUCUCAGAGACUAUUCGGAUAUACUUCUCCCUUGCCCAGCUUCAUGUGCUACAUUGUUUCACUUCUUUACAUGUUUACUUUAAUGAAUCUCAGCUGGCUGUACCCUAUUCAUCAAGGUUUUCCCACGAGUCUGUUGAACACAAACUAAGGUGUUGUAAUAUUGCGGUUCUGCCUGCUUAACAAAAGGUUUUUCUGUAGGUAAAUUAUAUAGGAUUUUUUUCUUUUUUCAUAUGCCAACUAGCUAUAGACAUUUCUUGUGAGGACCCGUGCAGGCGUGUAUUUAGUCCCACAUCGGUUAUUCGCUGAGUAGAUUUUGGAUACUUAUACAGGAUCAAGGAACCCAAAUAAUACCUUCCGUCUAGCCAUUUUGGGUGAGGUCUUGCAUUGUUAUAAAUGGUAUCAGAGCAUACCCGACCCAUAACCUAUGUGGAUUAGGGGACACUGCAACAUAGAUCUAUAGGGGUUGAUUACGAACCGAUCAUGGUGUUUAUGAUUAGAUUUGAAUGGAUUUGAACACUUAACCUGAUCUAGCUAUUUUGGGUGAGGUCUUGAAUUGUUAUAAAUGGUAUCAGAGCGAACCCGACUAUAACCUAUGUGGAUUAGGGGACACUGCAACGCAGAUCUAUUGGGGUUGAUCACGAACCGAUUAUGGCGUUUAUGAUUAGAUUUGAAUGGAUUUGAACACUUAGCCUGACGAAGACGUCAGAGCUUGAAUGGGGGGAGUAUGUGAGGACCCGUGCGGACGUGUGUUUAGCCCCACAUCGGUUAUUUAUUGGCUAAAUUUUGGGUACUUAUACAGGAUCAAGAAAUUCAAAUAAUACCUUCUGGCUAGCUAUUUUGGGUGAGGUCCUGAGUUGUUACAUUUCUGUUCAUUUAUGUACUCCUUUCUCAAUCAUAUAUGAUCACAUGAUUAAACCAAGUCUAGUUAGAUCCAGUAAAACUAAGUCUAGUUAGAUCCAGUAAAACCAAGCCCAGUUAUAUUUAGUCCUGACACUAACAUUGCCAUGUGGACAUGGCCAUUGCCUUAUUUUGGACUUCAGCUGCACCUUAUAGUUCUUGCUAAUUUUUUGUCAAGCAAGAAAGCUUUCAGUUUGACACGAAAAAUUCAGAUCAUACUUCAUAACCUACACUUCUGCUAAAUCUACUGUAGAAUCGGCUUAUGCAGGUUUCUGGAUGCUAAUGAAUAUACUCACUUGAUUGCCGAACAGGUCUGCUGCAGCUGACAGCUAUUGCAAACUCCUAACAGUGAAUGCUACAUUAACACUUUGUCCUUGUUCUAGCAGUAAGAAGAUCUUGUGGGUUACUAACCAGGCUUCAUAACUCUGAAGUGCCAAAAGGUGCAGCUGACCUUGUUAUUGGAUUUCAUCUGUCAUUUGUACGACAUACUUAACGUUACAGGUACUUCUGGACCCACAGGUCAUUUAAGUAAAUGACAUUCUUGAUUGUGGUAGAUUGAGCAAACCAAACAUGCUAAGUUGGUUAGGCUGAGUUGAAGCUUGAGAAAAGGAGAAAGUUGGUGACAGAUCUAGAAUUCUUAAAAGCUAUCCAAGAUGAUACUACAUGUCAUUGAAAAUGAAAAUUUUUGUCCUGCAAGUCUUAAGUGCAAACAAGAAAGCCUAGAGCCGCUCCUCAUUUAUGCCUGUUGUCACUGAUUGAGGAGUAAGAAUGAAGAAAUAAUGAUGACUUGUUAGGAAAUCAAACCUUAUUUGUGGUGUUCAAGUCUUGAACCGCAUCCAAAGAAGCCUGGACGCCUUCUCAUUCACAUCUGCAGCCUCCUUGAUGGACUCUGAUGAGCAAAACUUGAUACAGGAUUCAGGAUCUUUUUAUGUGUGGUCAUCGGCUGUUCAAAACAAAGUACUGAGCUACCAAAACUAAUCUCUGAGUCAGAUAUUUAAAUAGAUUUCUCGUCCCAUUGUUGUGUCUUUGUUAUUGUUGCUGGUAUCAUUGUUUAGCUACAAAAGUUUAAAGAAGUGAAGUGUCCUCCCUUAUCAUAUGAGGGUGACUACUUAACCAACGCCUUUUCUCUGUGGCAUGUUGCUGGUGGGGACAACCUAAACCUCCUCUCUUUUUCAUCGGAGAGGGUAUGCUUUUGUUUGUUGUUGCUCUUCCAUUCAGAUGACAGUUUUGUUGCGCCUACUUUGCUUUUUUCUUCCUUUAUUUUCUAGGACUUGGUAAAUGCACUCACUCCCUUUGCUGGCCGAUGCGCUCCUCUAUUGCCCCAGACAGUGACAAUGUUCUUAUUACAAAAUUCUAAUUAUUUGUGCUUCUUUUAUAUGGCCAGAUGACUUGAAAGUUUUAGGUUGUUUUAUGGUUUAUUCAUGAACUAUUUUGGUGACUAAUUCGAGUAACUCCUUAUGGAUUACAGAGCACUGAUGUCAUUUGUUUGCCAGCAGUAGUGAAUGUUUAUUAUUCUUGUCUCUCAUGCUUUUCAUUUAUAUAUAAAUAAUACAAUAAUCUAUUGUUGUUGUUAUAUAAUUAAGUUUUUAUCUUUUAGAAGUUAUUCAUUUUUUUAAAAAAAUUCUGGCAAUUUUUGGGUUCUAAUUCUCCGCAACAAGUCCAAUAAUUACUGAAUGCUGAACCUAUGAUUUGCUUUAGAGAAUAGUUGCGAACAUAAGAUGGAGGGAAAUGAUUCUAUCAAUCUCUCUUUGCUUUUUCUGGUGGGAUUGUGCGUGCGGUACUGUAAAGAGUCCUCAGACUCCAAUGCGAGCGGGUAUGAGUGCUUGUGAGCGGAGAAAGGGAGUGAUAUCUUUGGCCGGUUUGCAUUUUUGUUUGAUGAAACUUCUCUUUUAGCCUCGAAGUGGCUGUUAAAAUCUCCAAAGGAGCAUGACCUUGAAACACUCAGCCAGCCUUUUUCCAUCUGAGCUUGACACAAAAAUAAAGGCUUGCGGCAUGUGUGCAUUAAGCACAGGUCUCUGCCUCCCAUGAGUGUGUGUGUGUGUGUGCGUGUGUGUGUGUGUGUGUGUGCAAGUGAAAGAGAGAGAUAGAUUUCUUUUGGGAAGCAUGUCUCAUAUCUAAUAAACAAGAUAUAUAGCAAGUAGACCUGAUCCAAAGAGUUCAGAGUAUGAGACUAAUCCAUUCAAAUCUGGUUGCAGCUGCGGAAAUCGCACUUAGUAAUUGGUCAAAGUAAUUCCCGUAACAACGAAGGAAAAAAAAAAGAAAAAGGAAUUCCUUGUUGACAUAGGAGGCCCAAAGCACAUUUGAUUGGAGUUAUGUACUUGGAAAGCUUAUCUACUCUUUAAUAUGUAGGCUCAAAAGAACCAUUGGUUAGUUGUGGAGAAGGAAUGACAUUUUUUUUAAUCGAUAAUUAAGUGGAAGUGGAGAGAACGUGAGCUCUUUUGCCAGUCAUUUUACUGGAGUUAUAAAAAGAAAUAAUUUAACACACUCUUACGCAUGGAUGGGCAUCAUAGGCACGUUAGGGGCAGCAGAGGUGUGUCAUCAGACCCCAUACGAUCCGAUCUCUGACCUAGAUCCCAUUGUUUGCUGAUACAACUAUUAAAAGAAAGAGGAAAGAGAGAAUGUAAUUCAAAAAGGAUAAAGAUAUAACUAAAUGAAAUUAUAAUGAUAGAUUCCACUCUUCUUCUUUCUGGUAGGUGCAUUACCUCAAUCCCUCAUUAUUCUAAGCAAUUGUCUGGACUUCAGGUAGAGAGAGAGAGAGAGGUAGUGUUGUCCUAUAUUAAUUUAAGAAGGGAGUAGUAUAUUAGCCCCUUGAUAAAGUAGGAAGAAUUGCAUGGAGACAGGUGCUUCAGCUUGGUCGCAUAUGGCUGAAAACCACCUCAGCAUGGGAGGAAAUUAGUUGUCUGCACUUGCAAUUUCUCCCACAAAGGAUGUAAAUUUCCCACAACUUGCCAAGAGAAAAAUUUAGGAAAGAGAAGAAAAGCUCCACCAACUUCUGCCCCUUAGAGUGUUGUGAGACUGGAGUCCAGCUGAUGCCCACAUGGUGGAGGGGUUGGUUUGGUUCCCCUCCCUUCCAUCUCCUCCUCCCCCCCUCAGGGAUUCACUUUUUUUGCAUUGUCUGCUAUAGUACAUGAAAGGUGCUUGGAGGGACUCCCAACAGCUACAACAUACUGAGAAAGAGAGGCAUCCAGUAUAUCCCUUUCUUCAACUAUUUGAGACUAGUGGAUGAACAAAAGGCUUCUCUGUUCGGGAGCUGAUAAUAUAGUGUAAAGAACCCAUUCUAAAAAGCCAUAUCUUGAAGGGCAUUGUUGGGCAUGGCCAUGAUAUGUAUGAAACUGGCAUAAAUGUGGGCAGGCGCCAUGUAGGAGGUUUUCUCUAUGUUUUGGAUGGAUUUAGUCCAUUGUAAGGUUUGAGCAUUUCUCACCUGGACUGAACAUAAGUUCAGCAUCAAUACCAUCAUUGCCAUAGUUCCUGGAGAGAGAGACGGAAGCAGACAACAUCACAUGGGAGCUAAAUCAGUGAGGAUUUGUGGGGUUGGGAGGUGGGAGAUCCAGCUUCAUAAUAACUUGGAAAGGAGCAGCAUACUGCAGCAUCUCCAUUAGCCUCUUAGUUUAUGCUCUGAUAUACAAUUGUCCAAGGAAGGCUAGUAAAAUGCAAGUGUGUCUGCACACUUAAGGAAGAUUUUACCUUAAGGUUGAAACUCAUGAGGAAGCCAAAAAAAAAAGAGGUUUUUUUCUUCUUCUUUUGAGUGUACAAAAUAGGUUCAGUUUUUCAAGGAUCCAAGUCAUCAUAUUGGAACUAGUUGGAGAUUGAUAAGGGUAGAAUGGACAUGAGAUGGGUUGUAGUAGUACCAGUGAAUGGUGAUAUGAGAGCUUGGUUGGUAGAGGAGAGAGAAACCAAUCAUGCAAGCAAUUUGAUUGUACCCCUUGGUAGUGGGCCUCCCACCUCUCUGCUUUCUAUUUCAGCCCUGACCAAGACAUUGCCUUCACAAAUGACAAUUGAAUGCUGUCAUUGACGGUGUGCUUCGGCGAGGCAGCCAUGUGGCUCCACAUAGAGAGAUCUUAUCAUUAAGACAUUAAUUAUGUUUCUAAUUGGUAUAAUAAAUUAGUGAAGUGGUUCCCUUCUAGUGUUCCUUCUUCCUUUUCAAAUUUUCAUAAGCCCUAUCCUGUUUUUGUCCUACUGGUGGGCACAGUUCAGCCUAGUAGAAUUCAUGAGGAACACUUGGCUGAAAUACUGAUAAACAGAUAACCAAGCAUCUCGAAUCUUUGAUCACCUUAGUAAACUACAUUGUCAUGCAUCAUAAAUAUUGUAAAUUAAGCAUCCUAUCUUGUCCUACUGGUGGCAUCAUUUCGGCAUAAAAGACAUAGAGGACCACUUGAAGGAAAUCUUGAUAAAUAGAUACCAUUAAUCUUUUCUUGUUUUUCGGAGAGCGAAAAACUUCAAAAAUCUUGAGUACCUGAUGAUAUUACAGCACUGUAGAUCAUAAAUAUUAUGAACUGACUUAAGCUUAGAACCCCUAAGGACCAACUUAUGGAGGUCAUAACAUGAUUCAAGGAAAUAACUGGUUCUGCUGUGGAGCAGUUUGGCCAUUUCAGGUAGAUCUCGCUGAGGUUUUGGAGCAACAUCCACCCUAUCCAAGAUUAAAUUAUGAAGAGUAAGGAUAUAACUUUCUUAUAUGAUAUCCAUUUUCAGCAUUCUAAGCAUCAAAAUAAAGCUCUUGACUAGUAAUAUAAGAGUGGUUUCUACGGUGUUUGAGAGCAUGAAAUAGGAAGAGAUCAAAAUAACUUUCUUUCUUGGUUAAAUUAUUGAUUGGGCAUACCUUCUAAUGUAGAAGGAAUUAGAUGGCACAGCCACUGAAAAAGUUGAUAUAAGCAUCAAAAUCUAACUCCCAUAUGAGUUUCACUUUAGUAUAAUUUCCUUCCUAUUUCUAGAAAACUUUUACAUUUUUUUAAUUGAAAAAAAGGCAUCCAACCUAGAUCUAGGAUAUGGACCAUAUUAAUAUAAAUAAAGGUGUUCUAAUUCGAUUUUGUCAUCAAUUAAGAAAAGGUAAAAACCAUACUCUCAUUUUUUUUUCUUUUAUGUCUAUUAUUUUCUGUGAGAGAUCCGAUUUAAAAUGAAUGAAAUAAAUGCUUCUGGUCAUAAAUGAGUAGAUGCUAAAGCAUCAAUUAUCUCCAAUUAACUUUCUAGGCUAUGAAUUGAUAGAAUAUAAAUAUAAUAAAAUACAUUAUAUGUCAUAUUUAACGUUCAAACACAAGAGAAUGCAAAACAGUAAGAAUAUCACAAUGUGAAUGUAUUUCUUCUUCUUUUCCUUUACCUUCCUUCACCUUCUUUGAUGGUUAGCAGUCCUCCAAAGAUAGAAGCAACUUUAAUAGUAUAUCAGUAUAUGAUUGACGGAGGUGAAGCUCGUUGCCUAGAGUGGGUCCUCGAUGUUAGAUACUUGUAAGAAGCCAAAAUUUCAAAAUCUGAAAUUAAUAACACUGAUUGAAAUAAACGCUCCAGAGACAGUAAUUUGCCUGUAUGGGUCGCCAAAUUUUGGAUUUUGUGGUUUCACAAUAAUGCAUUGCUUGUCUGGAUAGGGUUCAUAGAAUUAGGAAUUAAUAUUUAGUAAAAUUUGGAUUAAUUUCACUAAGAAUGUUUCCUCAAGCCUGUGCUGCUUUCGUAAUCAAUGUAACAACCCAAAACCUCAUCCAAAAUGGUUAGCCGGAAGGUUUUAUUUGGAUUCCUUGAUUCUUUAUAAGUACCUAAGAUCUAUCCAACGAAAUAAACAAUGUGGGACUAAACAUACGCCCGCACGGGUCCUUAUAUACUCCUCCAUUUAAGCCUUGACAUUUUCGUCAAGUCAAGGGUUUAAAUCCAUUCAACUCUAAUCACAGACACCACAAUCGGCCUAUGGUCAGCUCCAGUAGAUCAUUGCUACAGUGUCUCCUAGUCCAUGUAGGUUAUGGGCCGAGUCCACUGUGAUACUAUUGGUAACAAUCCAAGUCUUCACUCAAAAUGACUAGUCGGAAGGUUUUAUUAGGUUUCCUUAACCCUAUAUAAAUAUCUAUGAUCUAUCCAGCGAAUAAUCGAUGUGAGACUAAACAUACGCCCGCACAGUCCUUACAAUUAAGGUGAGAAACUUUCUAUUACCCAAAAAAACAGAGGUGUAAUAAAGGAUUCUUAUCUUAGCUUCACUUAGGAUGUGUCCUCAUCAGGUGAAAGGCCCAGAUAAAGAAAUGACGCAUUGUAAAAGCGUCAAUUUAUUAAUGAACCAGCCCCUGGACAAUCGAUGGGGCAUCUUGGAGCAACUCAUCCAAGUUUUUUAUUAAGCAACUUAUAUACAGUCUUGUUUAAAAUUUUAUAUUGCACCAUGAUUUAGAAUAAUGUCAGGUAGCAAGUGACAAUUUGCUAAUCAAACUUGGCUGGCCCUAUAAGAAUCAUGGAGUUGGUUUCUUGAUUAGGUUAUGCGUGAAGACGACACCAACUACCAAUUAAGAAUUCAUGCAACAAAUGUCACAGGGUUCGAAUAAUGAAUACCAUAGAGGAAUCUCUGCAAAACGUAACUCCCAUAGUAUUAUUUUUGGGAAAGUGCUGCAAGUUAAGAUAUGAUACUGCCUAUAAAGCUUGAUUGACGGACUCCCAUUUGGUCGCGACAAUGUGAUUAGGAAUGGUCCAUUUGCUUAUGACUGAGUCCAAACAAUCAUGUUGAUGCUAUUGUAUUUUAGUAAACUUGAUUAAUAUGAUAAUCAUGAUAGCACAAAGAAUUUUUGUUUCAACUCAGAUUUUUUGAAAAAAAAAUUGUGAAGGCAAUUCACCUGCACUGCUAUUAUCUAGGUGCAGAUUUUUAGAGAUACGCCAUCUAAAACUUGAAUCUAGAAUCUUUGGUUACUAAAAAAAAAAGAUAUCGUCUGUGAGAAUUCGUGUGGAUAUGUGUUUAGUCCUACAUCAGCUAUGUAUUAGGUAAAUUUUAGGUACUUAUACAGAGCUGAAAAACAUAAAUAAUACUUUUUUUGAUGAGGUUCUGAAUUAUCACAUCAUUACUAGGACAAUCUCCAUGGCACUAGGUUCAGCUCGGACUUGAUGUAUAAUCAUGCAUUAGCCACAAAGCUAAAAAAAAAAUGCACUAGAAAAUAAGAAAAAAAAGUUCUCACCUCACAGAAGCACUUAUCAUCUAAUAACUUUCAGUUAGAUUGUUCAUUUUAUACCUUCUUUAUCUUUGAUUAAGAUUUUGUUCCAACUGUUGGCAAGGAUAUGGGACCCAACUUGUCCAAAGAAAUAGACCUGUCAAUAAAUGCAAUGUUUUGUAUCACAACUUGCUAGCUGGAUGGAUGUAACAUUUGAUGAUUUGACUCAUAUUUGAGUAUAAUUAAAAAAAUAUAUUAAGAUUUGAUUUGUUGGUCAAAAGUUACACUUAUAAUUGCAAGUAGAACCUUAGGAAACCGUAAAUACAACGAUUUCACAGUUUUACAGUAAGUGGUCAUGUCAUGGGUCCAUUAUGGCCUGUUGGUCCAUUGACAUGUUGGACAAUAUCAGAACUAUUUGGUUACAUCGCACCGAACAAUAGGCACCCAUGAAGAGCUCCGGAGCUACAGACACCAAUGGAAAGUUUGGCAAAACCAGCUUGAGCCAAACUACGAAAGUUAUACGUACUUAUUUGCUACUACGAUUAAUUAAAUUUAUCUAAGGUCAAAUCAGAACAAUUUCAUCAAGAUAAUUCGAACCCACACCUCUUUCUAUAUAUAGAGGAGGGUGCAAUCAUGAGGCUAUAGAUUAAUAUUAUUUUUCUAAAAUAUAUUUUUUUGGGUACAAUGGCAACUUAUACACAACGGAUGUGAGUGCAGUCCAUAAAAUUAAAGAGAAUAAGAGAAUACAAGGACGCCAGGACUAAAAAAUGGUUAUCCCAAAGAAAACCUCCAAUGUUGAGCCGCAAAGAAAGCCACCCAAUCAGCCACACUGUUCGUCUUUCUAUAGGCAUGAGUGGCUCGAUAGAAGGCGCACUUAUCCAAGAGUCGACGGAUGUCAUGAAUCAAUCACAUUCCACCGGCUGCACCGUCGAAUCCUAAAUCCACUCGAACGCCACCUGAAUCCUAAAUUAUUUUUGAAAGCAAACGUAUACGCUCAUUAUAUGUCCUUACACCAAUCCAAUAAAUGCCAUUUUGAAUAUUUAAAUUUAAGCUUAUACGAGUGAUAUUAUGAAAUAUGUCAUCACUGUGUUCUAAUUAAUGAGGGCGACAGUGAAUGUUGAUGACAUGUGCAUGUCCCGAGCCAACAUGUUAGGUCAAGAAUGGACUCGUAGGCUAAUGGUUGCGCGAGGUACCUUGGUCGAUGAGACUGUGUCUGAGAAAAUAAGGAGCAAUAAAAGGACUACUACAAAUGAACAUACGCGGUUACUGAUGCUUGCGCUCUUAUGUGUUGAUGCGAUUAGGCAUGCUUGGGUUUGUGGGAACCCACAUAGGCUUGUGUUUGAUUCCAUGUCCAAUAUGCGUCGAACAUCUAUAGUACUUCAGGAGGGAUGAGGACAUGAAUCAACAACUUUCUAGCUGGUCCUUUUUGGAUGAUAUUUUGGUUGUUAUAGAUGAUACCAAAAUCGAUCAGCCUAUCACUCGUAUAGCCGCACAAAUUCUUUAAAGAUUGACUAUAAGGUGAUCAUGGUGUUAAUGGCUGAACUCUUUUGCCAGAAUAAUAGAGCAUAUAAGAACUUUUAUGAGCUUGUAUUUGGUUCCACAUUAGGUAUAUGUCGAGAAUGUCCUAGAUAGUUAAUAAGGCUAAGAAUUCCAACUAAUAACCAAAGCUUAAACAAAAAGAGUAUAUAAAAAUCUGCACAAGCAUGUAUUUACUUUCAUAUUGAUUAUGUAGUGGGAAGAUAUUGGAUAUUUAAACAAAACCAAUAACCCUGGUUAAUAAUCUUUAGAUUAACUCCUUUUGCAUUAGGUUUUAUAACUUUUUGAUUAACUCUUUUUAGAUGAGAUUCUAGGUCAUUAUAACUAACUAAUAACCUUCUGACUAGCUCUCUUAGGAUAGUUCCAAGCCAUGGUGGUCUGUUUUUGAUAAAUAUCACUUUAGUAUGACCUCAAACAACUUCCAAAGUAUACCUCAAUAAAAUUCUGAUGGUGUCCUCCUUGAUGAGGAACUCUAAUGAAAGUAACUCGGCGGUCGAUCCUCAUGCAUGCAAAUACCCAAAUAAGAACAGUCUAGUUUGGAUCACAUGUCCAGCCUAGUCCUUUGGUUGCAAAAGGUUUAGUUGAGUACUAUGUGUGCAUAGGUCAAAAGAAGGGUUACAUGGUUUAGGUUCCCUCGUAUACAUUUGCAGGAAUGCACAUACAAUGGAGUGAUAUCCAAUGAAACAUAUUGGAGUAUGUGAAGCAAAAUCAGCAUUCACAAAUCACAAUGGAAGUCACAGCAUGAUUUGCAUGAAUAAACCACAAACGUACAACAUUAGCAAUCAAAAGAAAAUUUCAUUAAGAGAAACAUUUGGCCGAUAAAGUCACCAAUGUUUAGCCAGAAAAAGGAAACGUCCCCAAAUCGUCUUAAAAUCAUCCGAGUUAAGACCUUAACUCCAUAAAAAAAGGGACAUUCAGGAUGAAUUUCGUGAGUGUGUGUGUGUGUGUGUUGAGAUGGGGAGAAUCUAAAGUAGGUUUCUGUGUCGUUUCAUGCUCCAUUCAAAUUGUGAUUGUUAUGGAUUGUUUAGAUCUGUUGGAAAGCCUUCCUUAAACUUUAUUUUUCAUUUUUUUUCACCUUUCGCAUCUAUAUGUGUGUUGUGUUAAAAUUAAUAAAGUUUAUUUUUUAGAAUAAUUUGGAUACAUGUUAAUCUAGAUUCAUGUAAGGAUGGUUAAUGUAUUUAUGUACUUAGCCAUCUUUACAUCUUUCUAUAAUGGCUGUUCAUUUUUCUAUGCAAUAUUAGGCCCCAUUUGGCAAAGCUAUUAGCGGUAGAGCUUUCGAAAGUUUUAUAAAAAGUUAUUUAUUGUUUGGUAACUACGUUUCUAAAGUGCUGUGAGACUUUAAUAUGUAUUUGGUAAAUAAAUUGAAAAAAUACUUUUGGGAUAACAAAAUGACCAUAAAGAAUUUUGCAUAGUAUUAUACAACAGAGCAUAAUAAAAUAUAAUAUAUAUUAAAAUAUAAAUAUAUAAUAUAGUACAAUAUUACUGUAAUAUAAUAUAAUAUUAUUAUAAUAUAGUAAUAUAACAUUGUAUACUAUAGCAUAAUAAUAUAACAUAAUUUGAGAUUAUAUAACAUAAUAUAUUAAUGUAUUAUGAUAUGAUAUAAUAUUUUAUUAUAUUUAUAGUAUAAUACAAUAAUAAAGAUAUAUAAUAUUAUAACUUUUAUCAUUAUAUAUUAUUAUUAUUAUUAUUUUAUAAUUAUUAUAUUUUAUUAUGGUUAUUUUGAUCCAAAAAGAAAAAAAUUUAUAACUCCAAAUAGCUUCUCAAUGGAGGCUAAAAGUGCUUUUCCAGAGAUGCUUCAAAAUACCCCGAAAAAGCUUCUUCCAAAAAGCUGUUAAGCUUUCCGGUAAAGUUAAAACAGCUUUCCAAUUUUUUUACCAAAUACUUCUAUUCCAUCUAAAAGUACUUUUGGAUUCUCUAAAAGCUUUACUAAAUGGGACAUUGGUUAUAUAUAAUUAAUACGGAUGCAGGUACAGGUACCAGAAGUCUCAAUAAAGUCUAUAAAAUAUUUUUUAUUUGUUACAUGUUGUACCAAGUUCGGACAUAAGCCUUUUGGAUAAGUAGCGCUGUAAGUGUUCAUCAAUUUUAGAUGUCCAGAAACAACUGCAGACAUAUGCUAUUACAAGAAAAGAGACAUGAUUGAGAUACAUUGUGUUAAUACCCAUGAACACUGACAGGCAUUAAUCGAUGCCACGCUUCAUUGCACGAGACUCUAACUACGACCAAUUAGAGUAAAAACGACCAUGACACAAAAGUGGCUUUAGAUUCAAAAGUGGCUUUAGAUGCAAAAGUGGCCUUAGAUUCUUUUCAUCAUACCUAGUAGCCGUCUCUGUCAAACACAACCAAAGAUGUAGUUGAAUGCAGUGGGUGAAUAGGUGUCAGACCAGAGAUCCGUUGGAGGUGCGAUUGGGGACUACCAAAGGACCCCCACCCACAAUAUAAGCCAAGUCGGGGAAGGAUCCCCACCCUCCGCAAGGUCACAACAGUGGACAUAAGUAUUAGCGUUGGCCGCUGGCGUUGGAGGAACAGUGUUAUGGCGAACAGUAGACUGUCCUGUUUCUGAGAGUGUCUCAGGCAACUUGCCAUCCUCUGCUGUCGUGUGACCCACUUUGGAUUCACCAUCUACUCCUUCCCAGAGUUUUUACAACAUGGGCAUGGAUUCAUGGACAAAGACUUAAAAAAUUUGAAAUCUCAAGUGAUGGGGCCAAGAAGAUUAGCUUCUAAUUUAAGACAUCAAUUUUAGCAUUAUUUGCUAAAAUAUUUUUAAAACAAGAUUCAGAAACCUUGAAUCAUAUAUUAUUUUAUCGCGACCGGUGCUGUGCUCCAAAUCAAGAUAGCCCCAUUAGGUCUUGGGGCGGCCUUCGAGCAUGCUCGGCUUUGACCCAAAUACCAAAUUAGUGUCCAAGCUGCUUACCAAGUUGGUUAGGUCAUCUGGACUCUCUCAUUUAUAUCCAUUUGAGUCAGUGAUAUCUAGUGAUGGAGGUAUUGAGUAUGUUUAUCCAGAUUGAACGACUGCAUUUGGUAAUUUAAACAUUGACAUCUGAUUAUUGGCAAGUAAAAAAGAGUUACCUCAUAAUUCGUAAGACGAUUGCGGUGCUACGACUCAUGAUCUGCAGAAGCAAGUGGAUAAUAUCCACCCUACAGUCUACAUGGCGUGUCUCAUGGCAAGCUACAAAAUCAGGUACAUGUAUCCACAAGUUAAAACCAUGUCCUAUGAGGCCCAGGACUAAUUCCAAACAUGAUCGACGGGAUUUUCGUCCAUCCUUCUCAUUCCUUCAAAGGAGGAAGCACGGAACAGCCACUGUGGUUGCUUCCCCUCGUCCCCUCUCUCAGAAGCAGUAAAACCCCAUGCAGCCAUGGAGAAAUUCCAACAUACAUGUAUUCCACUUUACACCUCACACUGUUCCCACGUGCGAAGGCAGGGGCACGUGAGCACUUGGGGAGAAGGGGGUCACCACUCGUCACUCCCAUGUGAGGGACUCUGACACCUUAAGUACCAUCCCUGUUCUUAAAGAGGAGUAGUCCCCCUCAGGCCACCCCAACUUCCCACGAGACAAUACCAUCCCAAAGGGCGAGCCCACACUGCAUGCAUGCGAGGUGGAAACUAGCUCCGGCCUCACGCCCCAGAGUGAGUGGUAAAAGCUGGGGACCAGAGAUUUGAGAGGAGGGGAAGGGAAAAAGCAAAGAAAGCAAGGAGGAGGAGGAGUAUUUCCUUCAAAGGGAAAUCAUUUGCCUAUGACUCAAAAAAGCUAUAUAGAUUUCAUGCGUCCAUUAUGGUGAUAUGGAAAAUUUGCGAUUGAGGGAGACACUGGAAACCCCAUCACUCAUCAACUCUUGCGUGCGGAGCUUCAUGGGUAAAUAAUUGACAGGAGAUGGAUCGGAAAAGCCAAGCUGAAACCAGAACUAACUAAAUUAAGUUAGGGUGAGAACAAAUAGAAGAAAAUCCUAUUGUUUGAGAAAGAAACACAAGUAUCGGCGGUCCCCAGCCUACAGAGAUCUGAUAUUUCCUUUCAAAAUUGAAAGGUUUUUAGAAAAUUUUUCAGCAUUAGGUGUGAGGGCAUAACAUUGAGCUGCUAGUGAAUCGACUCAAUAUUUUAUCCUCUCUCUCUCUCUCUCUCUCUCUCUCCAUAACAUAGUAUUUUUUUUUAAAGUUAGAUCACAUACUGGCAUUCUCCCUUUUAAUUCAAUUAUAUAUAUAUAUAUAUAUAUGAUCGCAAUUGCAUAAGAGAAAAUCGAAAGUGCUGUACCCCCUACGCCUGCAGAUGCGAGAUACACACUACCACGUUAGUGCACGAUGAUCUAGGAAUAAUUGUGCAGCCGUAAGCAUCAUUAUGUUCUCGCUUUGGAGCAGGCUAAAUUGAGAAGAAAUAAGAGGGCUCCGUGUCAGUUUUAAAACUUUUCUUGGAUCGAGUUGUCAACAGAACUUCAGUCAACUGGCGAGCACCUCUAACCCCCAUCCUCACAUUGGAAUAAAGUUUUGUAUUUGAACUUAGAAGAUGGCGCUCUCAUACUAUUCUCAAUUUUUUUCGAGCACGCCGGUACUACAUGUUCUUUUGGAGACGUUAUAUAUUUAUAUUGUUAAUAUGAUAUAUAAUAUUGAUACAUUAUCUAUUAAAUUAUGAUAUAAUUAUUUAGUAAUCUGAGUAUUGUUAUGGGUUGAAUAAGGAAUAAAGGAGAAGAAAAGGAGCAUGACAACCAAAAACAGGGACGAUUAGAAGUUCAGGACAACAGACGAGAGAGAAGGGGACCCCAAAACCAAAUGAUGGUGCAGGGGAAAAGAGAAUUUGGCACUGGGGAAGGGUGUGUGCGUGGGGUUGUGAGAGAGACACAGAACAGAGGUAAGGUCUCGACUCUCUAAGCUUGGCCCAAAGCUCCGAGCUUCAGGGUUAUUUGAGUAGAUCCAGAACCCCUCCUGCACUCCCCGCCUUCUCUCCGGCAGCCAAAGAGCCCAGAAAAGAGAGAGAGAGACGCACAGAGAGAGGGCAACAGGGGCCAGAGGUAUAAGGUAGCAUAGAGAUAACUAGCUCUCUCUCAGCCAUGCAAGCGGUGGUGCGGCCGAAGAAAGGAGGUCGGCGGCUGUUUUGACCCGCAGCCUCCACCGCCGCCGCCGCCACCACCUCGGAAAAUGGAUUCGGCGAGGCAGCGGUCAGAGAGAAAGAGAAACAAAGGGAGGGAGCCUCCCAGCUAAAAAACAACUAGAAAGCAGCGAUUUUUUUUUUGCUUUUAAAAAAGAAAGAGAGCACUCUCACCUCUCCUCUCUUCCACCUGGUGGUAAAUAGAGCUCCUUCCUCUCUCUCUCUCUCUCUCNNNNNNNNNNNNNNNNNNNNCUCUCUCUCUCUCUCUCUCUCUCUCGCCCCCUUUCCUUCUUUAUUCCAAUACUCAAAAGAGCUUGUUUUCCUUUCUCUAAUCCUUGUUUUCUUCUUUCUUUCUACUGCAGUAGUUGGUUGUGUUGAAAAAGAAAAAAAGAGGGGGGGUGGAAGAGAAAGAAGAGGUAAAGAGGAGAGGCUCCAAGUCUCAUCUUUGCUCUGUUCUUGGAUCCUAUGGACGCCUACGAGGCGACAAGGAUCGUGUUCUCCCGGAUCCAGAGCCUGGACCCGGAGAACGCCGCCAAGAUCAUGGGACUCCUCUUGAUCCAAGACCACGGCGAGAAGGAAAUGAUACGCCUUGCCUUCGGCCCCGAGACCCUCGUCCACUCGGUCGUCCUCAAGGCCCGCAACGAGCUCGGCCUCGUCCCCGCCUCCUCCUCCACCGCAGCCGGCGGCGGCCCCACCUCCCCCUUCCUCCUCGGCCGGCAGAACUCCUCUUCUAGACUCCUCGGUGGCCUCGCCGUCAGUUCCCCCACGUCGUGGGCUCCGCCGCCGGUUUUCUCGAGGAGUAGUAGUGUGAACAACGUUAAUGGCGUGAGCGACGAUAUCCAGAGCCCGGACGAGCUCGUUAGCCCCAGCAACCAGGCGGCGGCGUCGCCGUUCUACGGCGGCGGGGAUCUCAUCAACGAGCUCCAGCUCCCGGACCAGCUUUCCUUCCUCAACGACGCCGCGUCUGCCGUCCAGGUCACUGCCCCCAGCCCCGCCCAUGGUCUCCAGAUCAGCCCCAAAGGUGGGGAUUUUUUCUACCCGGAUGUUGUCGGGGAGUGCCGGACCCCGAGCGGCGGCGCGGAGGGCAUGCUGUUACCUUACUCCAUUGGCGGCGGGGGUGGGUGGGGGGCGAACAGUGGCCACCACCGCCGGAGCUUCUCCGUCGCCGAUGCUUGCCUCGGGUCGGAGGCGGCCGGAGCAGGGUUUGGGUGGCGGCCUUGCCUCUACUAUGCAAGGGGGUACUGCAAGAACGGCGCGAGCUGCCGGUUCCUCCAUGGGGUCCCCGACGAUACCGCCGUCGCCUCCAUGGCGGCCGGUGGAGGCGGCAAGAUGGACCCCGUCGUCGAGCAACAGUGCCAAGAGCUUCUUCUGAGGUCCAAAACCCAGAGACUGGGCGGCGCCUCCCAGCUCAUGGCCUCCGCCUUCCCUUACUCCCCCACUGGAUCAGUGCCGGCCUCGCCUUCGUCCUCCAUCAAAUGCACCAACUUUCUUCUCCAGCAGCAGAACGAAAGCCAAAGGUAUGUCGUUGACAUGAAAACACAUCAACCAUCUCCAUUUCCAUCAUAUACAAUCAAUCUAAAAGCCUAGGGUAAUCGAAAUUCCCACAGGGCGGCGGCAGCGGCGGCGCUGAUGCUCGGCGGUGGCGACGAGACACAGAGGUUCAUGGGGCGGUCUCGGAUGGAAAGGACCGACUUUGCCGCGAUGUCGAACCCUGCGUCGCGGCAGAUCUACCUCACCUUCCCGGCCGACAGUACCUUCCGGGAAGAAGACGUUUCCAACUACUUCAGGUUGGUGUUCGACGGAAGUCCCCCAAGAAAAGGUGGGGAAGGAUCGAUCUAUUUUAGGCAUUCAGUCUCUACUUUCUCAGCUCUAACGCUGGAUUUGGUGUUGUUCCUUGGCGGAAUUGAAGCAUCUAUGGGCCAGUACAGGACGUGAGGAUACCGUACCAGCAGAAGCGGAUGUUUGGAUUUGUGACCUUCGUCUACCCGGAGACGGUGAAGCUGAUCCUCGCCAAGGGCAACCCCCACUUCGUCUGCGACGCGCGGGUCCUCGUCAAGCCCUACAAGGAGAAGGGCAAAGUCCCCGACAAGUACAGGCACUCCUCCUUUCCUCUCCCAAACUUCCACUUCUUUCUAAAUCCACCCCCAGCUUGUGUUGCCUUCCUUCGACUAUAAACUAUAAAUUCUAUUCUCAGAAAGCAGCAGCAGCAGCAGGCUGAGAGGGGGGAUUUCUCUGGGUGCGCUACUACUCCCACUGGCCUGGACUCCAGAGACCCCUUCGAACUGUCUCAACUUGGUGAGAAUCUUUUAUAUCGAUCCCAUUCCAGCCUCCUUUCGCUCUAUGUUAGCUUCAUUAGUAUAAUCCUACUAAAAUUUUCUCCGGCAGCGCCAAGGAUGUUGUACAGCUACAAUAGCAGCAGCCAAGAGACAAUUCUGAGGAGGAAGCUGGAAGAGCAGCAUCAGGCAGCGGAGCUCCAGCAAGCAAUCGAGCUCCAAGGGCGGCGAUUCCUGGGCCUCCAGCUCCUCGACCUCACGACCCGAAACCACAUCACUUCGACCGCCACCGCUGCCGCUGCUACCACCAUUUCAACACCCGCCAUUGUCCCUUCUCCUACUGAUGGAAAGACCAGCAGUAACCAGGAAGCAGCAGCAUCACAAGGUCAGUCAACUAACAGCCCUUUUAUUUCACCUUUAGUCUUCUUUAGAUUUAGUGAAUUGGAAUGAUAGUUAUGUUGGUGAAUUAAAGAGGAAUAUAAAAACCAUAUGUAUUACUUUCUGUUUACAGAUAAGAGCCUGAAUAGUUGUGCAGCAGUGGCAGAGCAGCAGCCGGGCAGCAGCCCCCACGGGGUUGCUCAUCAACCGGGAGUCAAUGCUGCUGCCGAUAAGGAGGAAUCAGCCGGAAAUCCACCCCACAAUGAAGAUGGUUGCUCCCAGGAAAGGUAAUUCCAUCGGAACUAUCACAAGAAGCCGACUGUCUACUCUCUUCCGCCAUUAAUUAAUUUCCAAGGGGAGGAGGCCAGCGUUUUGUUUGGUUGUGUUGUUAGUUUCUCCGUUAAUUUGGUUUUGUUCUUUUGUAAUCCUUUUGCGACCAAUGGCAGCAGCCUGGAGCACAACCUGCCAGAUAGCCCCUUCGCCUCGCCCAUCAAAGCUUCCUUCGCCGGCAACUCGUUCUCGAAUGCGUCAUCCGCCGAAGCAGACUUGGUCGCUGCUUCUCUCCCACAGAAUAACAGCAGUAAUCUUCUCAUGACCUCGUCGCUGUUCCCCGCCACUUCCACGCUCGACAUGGCCUCCUUCAAUUCAUGCUUCUUUCAAAUGCCUAGGUAUUACGGUUAUGACUCUAUACAGAUCUAACGAUUUAUGAAUAUAAGUUCAUUGCUUUGUUUUUUUCUUAUUUUGUUAUUUUCUUAGGUUCUCUUCUGAUCAUGGAGCUGUGGGGAUGUGAAUAGGUGAAAGAAAAGGUUGGUGGGAGGGAGUAUUUCCUCCCAGUCGAAGUUUAACAGCUGCUUGCACCUCAGCCUACAAUCGGCAGUCAGUAAUGAUUUAAGUUCAAGUGUCCGAAACCUCUGAUAAUUAUUCAUUAUUUUAUGUGGCAGGAUAGGAGCUGCAAACAAGGAAAAGAGGACAACAAAUUAGGCUCAUAGGUUACUCCCUUUUUUUUUUUUGGUCUUCCUUUUAAAUUUAGUCAUAGACAAGAAAAGGUCCCACACUCCAUCCCCUACCUCUAAACCAUAAAGCUUAGUGCUGCCGGAAGAAAGACGAAAGGGACAAGGUGAGGGAUGCGAUAUGAGGAAGGAGAAAGGAACGGCGAGGGCCAUAGCUAUCAUCAUCUUUUAUCAAUCAAUCAGUGCAGCGUACGGUACUGCUACUACUACUAGCCAUCUACUUACCACCAAAUACGUCAUGAUAGUUGCAUACGGAGUACAGAAACCGAAACAGAAGAAGAGAAAGAGAACAGACAGAAGCCAAACUGAUCUCAGAAAGGACAGCAAAUGUAAGCAAAAGGACCAAGGCACGGUGGAGAAGAGAGAAUCGAGAGGACCGUCGCCGCUGUGUCACCCAUCAUCCUCUCCCAUGCACCUCCACUUCCACCUCUCCCCCUCCCUCUCAUUGAGCUUUUUCCUUUUUCAUGUUAGUUUACUGUAGGAAGUGACAAGAAAAACCCAAAAAAGGGAAAGGAAACCGACAAAUAACUACUGCUCGUUUUACAUCUUGCUAUUUUUCGUGUUGGAUGCUACUUUUUAUUUUUUUUUUAAGGUGGAGGGACACUGGAAUUGGAUGCGCACGCAUGCACGUAGUCAGGGCAGCUUCCGUGUGGUGUGAAUCAUAAACAACUACGAACUCCAUAUAUGAUCUUACAUCCAAAUCAUUCUAGAUGCAGAAUUUGAAGGUGGAUUGAGGUUUGCCUCCCCUUUUUAACAUACGGAUUAUUGUAACGUUUUAAGAAAAAAUUUAAAGGUCGUUUGUCGUGCUUAGUCCACCAGUCCUAUGCGGCAGUUGAUGAUUGGUUAAAUCAUACUUAAACCUUGUUUUACCACUCAUUUAUCUACUGCACCGAUCCCCUGUUACUGGGUCCGGCGAACAGUGCGGUGACUGGAUGGGUGCUUCGCAGCACUACUCAUAUGCCAAACGCUGCUCUGAAUUCUAAUGGCUCAAGAGGUUAAUUAUUAUAUGUUAAAGAAUGGUAGAUAUAAAUUUAAACAUUAUGUUUCUAUAAUGGUUAUAUGACGAGAACGGCUGCAGUAUUAGAUGUUUAAAGUGUUAUGAAAGUACUUCUAAAACAUGUUUUUAUACUGAUUGAACCAAAAAAAAAAAUCUUUAUGUAUAUAAAAAUCCCGGACCAAAGCAGACCUGGACCUGGCAGAUAAGAUCGCUGCAUCAAUUAUAACAGUAAACAACGAUUCUGUGGAGGGGUGGUCCAUCAUUUGAGGCGAGAGUGGGCAUCAUCUCUAGUAAAUACAGAGGUUCAGUUCACUCACCCACCGUCCGAACUAAAGACCGUAACGGGUUGCUUCUUCCCAAGUUCCAUGCUAUAUAAGUUAGAAUAAAUGGCGAGGCAGUGGUUACCACCUCGCUGUCUCUCCUCUUCUCAACCUGUUCUUCUGCCUUCUUGAGAUUUGUCACGAAGUAGUCUCCUUUUCUGAGCUCGCUUUACUUUAACUGGAGGGUCACAUGGGUGCUCGCAUUCGGUUGCGGUCCCCUAGCUUUACUUCUUGUACACGAUGCAUCACCAUAAUUGAUUACUUGAUAAAAUUCCAAGGGAGCAGUGGCCUCUCUCUCUCUCUCUCUCUUUCUCUGGGGCUCUUUCAUCUAAACUUUAUUAUUUUUACCUCGCUUCUACUUACACUUCUCUCGUCCACCGGCCUAGGAGUGGCGUGGGUUUAAGUUCCAUUGCCUGAAGCUCACCGGCGUCUCUGCCCCGAUGCACGCGUUCUUUUCUCUUUCCUAGAAUCACGUGAUUUAUCCUAAUGCUUCUUCCGUUUUCUUAAUUAAUUUCUUAUAUGGCUAAAGUUCUUUCACUUUGCCGAGAAAAUGCGUGCUGUAGAUGUUAAUUGCAUGAGCUCAGGCAUGUCAUAUGGCCUUCCGGACAGGCUCUGUUUGUUGAUUUAUUAUGAAACUACUUAGAAUUAUUUCGAGGAGCAGAAGAACAGGGAUAAGUUCGGGCGUUUAUUAGAUGCUCGAUUACUGGAACCGCAGCACAUGUGAUGCGCAUGAUGGUCAAAGUAUUAUAUGAAUUCAAAACCAUGCAACAUUGGGAGAAUGCCCAUGUGGGACUCCCGACAUUAAGGUGAGUUAUAAUAAUCGAAAUUUCCAUUUGAUAGGUCAAGGCACAUUGGUCCAAAGAAAGGUUUAAACAUGUACAGAAUGCGUAUAUUAAUGGGGACGUUUAGGAGGAAGUUAAAUGAUUUGAGCUUUGAAAAGUUCUCAAGAUGAGCUGACUGUAGGUAGCGGGAUUAGGCAGCUUUCAAUUGGUUCUAUGAUUAAUGAAAGACUAUCGAGGGAACUUGUACCAACUCCAUAUCCAUCUGUUACCGUAUUGCUUUUUGGACUACAAGUGCACAUUUUGGCUCUGUUUGGGGGAGCUGUUAAUGGUAGAGCUUUUGGAAGUAGAGCCGUUGGAAGUAAAGCUGUCUGAAGCAGAACAUUUAUAAGAAGUUGUUUGCUAUUUGGUAACUACAUUUCUAAAGUGCUGUGGCACUUUAACAUAUGUUUGGUAAACAAACUGAGAAAGUACUUUUGUGUGACAAAAUGGCCAUAAAGGACAUUACCAGUAUUAUAUAACAAAGCAUAAUAAAAUAUAAUAUGUAUUAAUACAUAAAUAUAUGAUAUAGUAUAAUAUUAAUUUAAUAUAAUAUAAUAUUAUUAUAAUAUAGUACCGUAAUAUUAUGUAUUAUAAAAUAAUAAUUUAAUAUAAUAUUAAAUUAUUUAAUAUAACAUAUCAAUGUAUUAUGAUAUAAUGUAAUAUAAUAUUAUAUUUAUAGUUUAAUAUAAUAAUAAAUAUAUAAAAUAUUAUAAUUAUUAGUGUAAAUUAAUUUUUCAUCCUUCUAAUGACCAUUUAUCUCUCUAACAAAUAGAGAGAAACGAAGAAGAAUAUAGAGAGGGAAAGGGAGAAAGGAAGAGGCGGGAUAAGGGUUUUGGGGAAAAAAAUUGUAAUUUAAAUGAGAAUAUUUUGGUUCAAAAAACAGCUUUCCGAUAAAACUGAAAACAGCAUUUUCGGAAAGCUCCAAAUUGGAGCUUCUUCCUAAAAGCUAUUUUCAGCUUCCUGCAAAAGCUGAAACAGAUUUCCGAAAAUUUUACCAAACAUAAUUUUUUAUCUAAAAAGUAUUUUUGGAGGGUCAGAAAUGCUUUUUGGCGCUCCGAAAGCUCUCCUAAACAUGGCCGUAAAAGGAUCUCUCACUCGAGUUGUAGACGAAGCAACUGAGCUUAUAGGAUUGGGGAGUUGGUACUCGGAUUAGUGACUUCAAUUGUUGCCAUAAAUCCUGGUUCAUGAGCCAAAUAAAUGAGUCCAUUCCCAGCCUAAGACUACGCUUGACUUGCAGUGGCGAGUCAGCUACUCAUUUAUACGUUAAACCUCGCAUAUGCUUGAUCGUGGCUCAAUUUCUAGCCUAAGAGAAGAAAUUCAACCCAUCAAAAGGAAAGGAGCCCGUUUUGUGGAGCAAGGGUUUUAAUGGUCACACGGUACUCCUGUGGAGAUGCUGCUAACCUUGUUCUGUUUUCUUAUUUCACAUGGACGCGUGAGAGUACACAACGUAUCAGAAUUCUGGAGACAGAGACAUCUUCCAAUUCCCAGUUAGAUGAUGAGAAUGAAAGAGAUGGCUCCGCCACCUUUGUACGCUUGAUUUGAAAUGGCGUAAUGGAAAGCCACAUUUCAACCACAGCCCACAGGAAGCAGAAUGCCUACCCCGUUCCUGUUUCUUGAAAACUUGCUACAAUUUGGUAUGUGGUGGAUUCUCAUUGGUGGAUUCUUGUUGGCAGUGAAAUUUUCCCCCAAGCUUUACAUCUUUGCCUCGUUGCACGAUUUGAAAGCUAGAGGCUACAUGCAAGGUAGGUACUUAGUCUCUUCAGCUCGAUCGCCAGUGAUGUCCUACUCCUUGUCAGACAAGCUGUCUUUUAGUAUUCACAACUACAGAGAAAUUGUGAGGGUCCGGCCCAUUAACCGGCCCGCACACAGUUGGGCAAUGGGCCGGGCCAACAUGGUUGGCCUAAGCACCACCAUGCCCACGCACGAGGCAGCAAAGGGGAAUGAAGACACCGCGACCGUUGGAGGUGGUUGCAACAGCCUAACGGCCGGCCGUUGCAGCCGUUCUUUGGGGGCUACAAAAGCACUCGGUCGCCCCCCAUUUGCGGAAACCUCUCCUCCCUCUCUGCUAGGAUUUUUUAAGCCUUUAUCUGUGCCGCCGGAGAAAGUGGUCGCAGUUCCUCCCCGGAGUUAGGUAAGCCACCGAACCUCGUCCACUCGUUCCCUAUCUUCCCUCUUCCUGAUCUACUCGGGAUAACUGAACAAAAGAAAAGAAGAAACAGAGGGGAAGAAUAAGAAGAAAUAGAGAAGAGAGAAAAAGAGAGAGGCGUACCUGUGGUCGUCAGCAUUGCCGACCCUCGAUCACAGGCAUCACCGGGUUUCGACCGCUGAUGUCCCCAGUCUUUGGCCGUAACUCCCGUGGGGUCGGAGACCAGCAACUUCUCUUUCCCUCUUCCAUGUUUUCGAGACAAAAUAGAGGAAGGGCUCCACGGCUCUCGGUCGCAGCCACCGCCGAUCCUCGACUGGGGCUGCAGUCGGGCCGGAGCCCUUCCCUCUCUCCAGUGGGCUAGAGGGGAGGCUCUCGCCUCUUCCCUUCGGUGAAGAGAAAAAGGGAGACGGAUGAAAAAAGAGGAAGAGGAAGAAGAAGAAGAGGAGGAAAGAAGGGCUUAUCGGAGUCUGACCCUAGGAAUUUAUGAGCGAACCGAGAUAAGUGACUCUGGUACAAGUCUUAUUGAUUUCAGAUUACUGACAUUAUUUUAGAUAUGAAAUUAUAUAUUAUGACUAAUUGUGCAUUUUCUUAAUAAUUAGGAUCAAGCAUAUAGCAAGUGCUUCAUGAUUUUGGCUAAAUAACAUCCUUCAUGAAUAUUUAUUUGUGUAUAUAUAAAUUAUGAUUUUGUAAAAAUUGCAUAAAAAUAAUAUUGUGGCAUGAUUAUGCAUUUUAAAAGUUACGAUGUCAUUAUUCAUUUUUUUCAACAUAAUUACAAAGUAUGGUUUAUGAAAAGUAUGAAAUGAUUUAUGAACUCUCAGAUUGCUAUGUACGGCCCUCGCUAGCAGAUAUAAUAGCUCGGCAUACGGCCCUCGCCAGCGAGUAUAAUAGCUCGGCAUAUGGCCCCGCCAAUGGGUAAUAAUAGUUGGCAAAGAUUACAAUCUUGUCACGGGUUAUAGUGACCAUAGUUGCACUACCAUCUGAGAGCACGAUUUUCAAAGCAUAAAAUAAUGACAGUAUUUUACAUUGCAUUUCUAUCUUUACGAACUUGCAAGAUUGAACAUGCAUUGCUUUAUAACUUGUUUUAGGUAUAUUGUCUAUGAAAUGCAUUACUUUGUUAUACUGUUAUUUUCUUUAAAUAAUGCAUUAGCAUGUGAAAUAUUAUGCUUGAUCUGGUAAAAUAGUGCAUGGUGACUUACUGAGCCGCAUAGCUCAUAUGACUCUUUUUUUUUAUCUUCAGAUAAAUAAGAUUGCUAAGAGUAGGGAGCUUGAAGCUUUUAGGGUUUAGGCAAUUGAUUCUGGUUGUACAAAUUUUUAGACCUAUGUAUCGUUGUCUUUUUGAAAAAUAUUCUAUAAUAAAAUGUUACUUUGUUAUGGAUUGCUAAUGUGACUUCGUAUUGUUGUGGGCAAUAACUUACAACAGCACGGCCGGAUUUUGGGCGUGACAGAAAUCAUGUGCUUUAGGAGACUUUCAAUGGGUUGUGGUACAAUGUAAGGAAAGAGCCUUAGAGUUGGAAUAGGAAAUGAGGAGGAUGAGGUCUCAUCGUGCAAUGAAAGGGUGUGGUGUACGGAAGGUUCGCGGAUGUCCCAAAACGGGAAAUACCCUCUUUGAAGGGCAACUCGGGGGCUUUGGAGUCCUCGAUUCGACAAAUAUUCAAUGAGAAUGGUCAAGAAAAGGCAACAUCACCAACUAAAAUGGACGAAAGGGAAGCAGCUUCGUCGUCUCCUCGAACUUCUCCGGACCAUAAUGGCCAGGAAUCAUCAGUGGCUCAGCCGACUAGCUAGGUUCCACCAUGCAAGCCAACUUGCUCCAGGUUUACUCUCUUGGAGAUGGAAGAGCCAAGGGCAAGGGGGGAGACCUAGGCAGUAGUGAAAGAGGCCAUUUCACCUUCUUUGGUAGAGGCCACCUUAACCACACCAACAUCAACUGAGGGUACCAGUAGUACUGAAAGAGUUGCCAUUUCACCACCUAUUGUCCACACAAUUGACCCAGUAAUCUUCUAACCACUAGAACGGAUAAUGCUCUACACUCACAUUUACUGUUAUCUUGGCAAGCUGCAAUAUUCCUUGGGGGUGGGACAAGGGGAUCGAAGAUGAGAACAGAAGCGGCUAAAGGGUUAUUUGAGUCACCUUGGUGAAAACCAAGGAUCCAAUGUAUAGCCACCAGCACUGUCCCCUAGUUUUGAGAAUAGGAUAGGCCAACAUGGUGCUAAUCAAAGUUUACCCAAUCUAACCACUUCUAUGUAAAUGAAAGUUUUGUCUAGGAAUUGCAAAGGAGCUAUGAAAUGCUCCUUUGUAAAUUACGCAAAAAAUAUGCUGCGUCUAUAUAGUCCUGUUGUCUGUUGUUUUUUUGGAGACAAGAUUUUCUGAAGGAUCUUUAGCUAGAAUAUCUAGAAUACUUAGCCCCUUAUGGCAAGUCUAUAUGGUGCUGGCUGAAGGUUUGUCAGGAGGAAUCAUAAUAGUAUGGAGGAAGGAUGUAAGGAAUAUUAGUUUUACUCGUUCCGAUAAACAUGACCUUCUUGGAUUAUGGGAUAGCAUAUGCCAAUACUAAUGGCCUAUCAUAUAGGAUUAUUUGGUAGUUAGUAACCAUAGUUAUGUCAAUAGGCUAGGGUUACCUUUACUACUUUUGGAUGAUUUUAACUACAUUUUACACCUGGAAGAUAAGAAAGGGGGAAGACAGUUUAGGGUAAACCAUAACAUCUGUGAAUUUAGAGCAUUCCUACAAUCUACCAGUUUGAUUGAUUUAGGGUUUCAAGGAUCAACUUAUACCUGGUGUAACAGCCAAAUGGAAUUAGCUCGGUUGUGGGAGAGAUUGGAUCGGAUCUUUCUCUUUCUAUCUGACCACUGACUGGAUCUCUUUCCAGAAUCAAAGGUGCUCCACUUAGCCCGAUAUGCAUCAGAUCAUUGUCUCAUCCCGCUAUCCAUUCUAGACUACAAGCCAUGGGCCCUAGCCAUUUCAUUUUGAGAAGUUCUACGUGUUGUGAAGCCACAUAUAUACGAGGUGAUUCAUUAAGCAUAGAAAUGCAAAGGCAGCCACUCCUUAGGGAUAAGGCUGUGGCUAAUGCUCCGGAACACACAGCGGCACUCCGAAGAAGAAAUUGAAGGCAUAUAGAGAAUAUAUUUAGAAAGGGGGAACACUUAUAUGGAAUGCUUCUACAGUUACAAGCAAAAGAGUUCCAACUAGGGGACCUAACACAACAGGAUCAUAUGCAGCUGUAUAUUAGGAACACUCUGAGCCUAUUAUCAAAACUUGCAGUGCCAAAAGGCAUUUCAGAGGCAGAAGUCAUGCAUGCUCUAGUGCAACGAAGGCAACACUAAAGGUGGCAACACCAAUCCACCAUUAUAGGGCCGCGUCAGAAUCUCGUUGCCAUGCUUCAGGAUCCAUAGGGGCAUCGGGAGGAAGGGGAGCAAGCCAUUAGGGACAUGUUGAAUUGGCACACUUCCAGCACAGGUGGCGACACCAACAACAUGACCCCUGCUCAUGGCCACCUCCUCUUACAACCCAAGUCACUAUGCAACAAAAUGAUCAGCUCCUAGCAGCAGUAACGGAGGACGAAAUUAAGCAAGCAAUCAAAGGUAUGCAUCUAGACAAAACACCGGAACCAGAUGGGCUUCUCUCUUUUUUUAAAAAAGAAUUCUGGUAUAUAAUUAAAGCUGAUGUGGUGACUACAAUAAAAAGCUUCUUUAGGUAUACUUCUAUGCCCCAUUGCUGGAAAGAUACUUGCAUAACAUUAACCCCUAGAGAAGAAAGUCCUACACAAGUACAAGACUGUAGACCUAUUAGUCUAUGUAAUACUAUUUAUAAACUAGUGGCAAAAACUUUUGUGAAGAGGCUCAAACCAAUCAUGUCUAAUAUAAUAUCAAAUACUCAAGGGGCCUUCGUCCCGGGCAUAAUAUAACGAAAAAUAUUAUGCUAGCCGAAGAGAUCAUGCAUUAAUGAAGGCACCAAGGUCCAAAAGCUUAAUAGCAAUAAAGGUAGACAUGGAGCAGGCCUAUGAUAGGAGCGAUUGGCAAUCUAUAUUGAGGGUGUUAAUGCAUUUUGGUUUCCAUGCUUGGUUUAUUAGAUGGGUUCAAGCAUGCAUCUUAAAUCAUAGAUUUUCAUCAUUAGUUAAUGGUAUUUCCGCAUCAUAGUUUUUACCAACCAGAGAUUUAUGCCAAGGUUGUCCACUUUCCCCAUACUUAUUUAUAAUGUGCUCAGAAAUCCUUUCAUCAGAUUAAUGCAGUUAGCAAUUGAAAACAAAGUAUUGUGAGCAUACAGACCAUCGAGGAGAGGACUAAAUGUAUCCCACAUAUUUUUUUGCUGAUGACUACUUGCAGGUGGCUAAGGCAAUGAAGAGAGACUCUCUAUGCAUGAAACCGCUACUAGCGUUCUACUACACAGUAUCUGAUCAAGCUAUUCAAAGAUAUAUUGAUGUAGAAACGGGCUUGCUAUGCAUCUUGAGCAACGCAUAUUUGUGGGGAGGGCAAUCAAUUACCCAACUGGUUAGCUGCUGAACCUAUCGAAGGACCUAUGCAAAUCAAAAGGUGCAUCAUCCAAGGAAAGACAGUGCAAGCUGUACAGCAGCGGCUGGAUGCACGGAGGGAGAUUGCCUUUUUUUUUUUAAUCAAGCCGAUACUGGGCUGUUGUCGAGGCUCUCUCCAGAUUGGGCUUCUCUUGGAUCAAUUUCUCAUGGUAUUGCGUCAAAUAACAGUGAGUCACGUACUAUUAUUCUCUUGUCAGUCAACUUCUUGUGACAUGGCCUAAUAGAUGGGCAAGCAUUGCGUUAUUUAUGAAACACUCUGCAGCUAAGUCCAACCAUCCUUCUAUGAUACUGAGAUCUUCUGAACUAGAUAUGAGAUCCUAUGACGUCAAAUGCCUCAGCCCAAGGCAGAGCACUCCCUCUCACAGUCUCACCUCAUCUUCGCUGCUACUAAACAAAAGCAUUAUAGAGAAAGCAAUUAAAUAAGGGAGUAAUGUGGCGAUAGCAUCGUUACCAUCGGUACUUCCUUCUGAAGCAUGGAGCACCUCAGCGGUCAAGAUUCCUCCUCUUCUCUCUAGACUCUGCUCGUCUUUUGCACCCAUGUGCACUUCAUGUUCUCCCCACACGGCACGGAGUCACGGACACCUCCACUUUCUCUGCAUUCUGUAACAAGAGUCCCCAGCAAAAAAACCAAAAAAAAAACGCAAGAUGCGAUGUCCGGAAGGUAAGCGUUGCUAGCUUCCCAACUCCCACAUUAAACAUCGAUCCCACCCUUCUCCGAGUCUCUCACACACCCAAACAUAUUUUCCCUUUUCUUUCUCCACCCGCGCGACCAACCAACCUAUUCCGCCACGAAGCCCAAGUUUGGCAACUCGUGGGAGAACAGGAGAUGAUGAGACUCUCACUAGAAAAUGUAAUGGAACCACACGGAUCCCAAGUUGAUGCAGGGGACUCCGAUUGUCCCCUUGGCCGCUAUAUUCCAAAGCGAGCACUAUUAUCAACGUGGUGGCGGGCCUCAACCCUCAAUGAAGCGGCUAGAUCAGACCAAACUGGCUAGACCUGGCCAAAAAAUUGAAGAAUUUUUUUUUAAAACUGGCGGACGUCAAUGCGAGUUUCACUCUCUUUUUUUUAAUUUUUAGAAGAAGAAAAAAUGACGGCGUAACUGUUGAAGGCACACGGCUUCUUGUACCUUGGAGGGAUCCAGGGGCUCAGAUGCCGAAGAAUUUGGCUUUAUUUACUCUUUUAGAUUUUGUUAAACUCUAGGCUGGAGACUCGGACGGGAAUCGCUCUGCACAAGAACCUUUAGAUUUUUUCCUUUUUCCUUAUACGAAGCCUUUAGUUCGAAUAAUUGGCCAAAAUGGUAUUCUGAUAAACCUGAUUUCGCAAAGCUAAAAUACUUGCCGUGUCAUAAGAACUUCAUAAUAACCUUUUCUGAAAAAUAAACUCUAUGAGAACAUAUGUAACAGAAGACAUACUAUAGCAUUGCUCAGAGUAAUAGAAUGUUUAAGUGUGGCAAUUUUAUCUUUGGUAAUUGGUUUCUUAGGAAUAAAAAAGGGGGGGAGUAAAAGGACUAAAAUCGUCCAUAAGAAGCCUCGAUUUAUCAUCAAAUAUUAAGAAGCAAAUUUGAGGUUAAGAAAAAGGAAAAGCGAAGCAAGGCGAUUCGCUCAAGUCCUAACUGCCUCUUUCAGUCCUCAGGCCCUGUUUGGGGGGGCUUUUGGUACUUUCUGGCCCUCCAAAAGUACUUUUAGAUAAAAAACUGUGUUUGGUAAAUUUUUCAAAAAGCUGUUUCAGCUUUUGCGGGAAGCUGAAAACAGCUUUUGGAAGGAAGCUCCAAUUUGGAGCUUUUGGAAGGAAGCUGUUUCAGUUUUUUCGGAAAGCUGUAUUUUUGACAAAAAUGCCCAUAUUAAAAUAACAUAAUUACAUAGUUUGUCCCUUUAUAAAUCUAAAAAUCUGUUGGAGCCAAGAACCCUAGCCGUCAGACUCCCUUCCAUAAGAAAAGGUAUUUUUCUUUUCAAUUUUUGUAUGUAUCUCUUGAACCACAUUUUAGAAGAAAAAAAUUUUAAUCCUUUUCCAUAUCUUCCAAAAUCAAUCUAUUGUUUUUUUUUAUCAUCAACUUCGCGGCCCACGCUAAGGUCCUCCUCGAGCAUGGACCACGAAGAAGAGNNNNNNNNNNNNNNNNNNNNNNNNNNNNNNNNNNNNNNNNNNNNNNNNNNNNNNNNNNNNNNNNNNNNNNNNNNNNNNNNNNNNNNNNNNNNNNNNNNNNNNNNNNNNNNNNNNNNNNNNNNNNNNNNNNNNNNNNNNNNNNNNNNNNNNNNNNNNNNNNNNNNNNNNNNNNNNNNNNNNNNNNNNNNNNNNNNNNNNNNNNNNNNNNNNNNNNNNNNNNNNNNNNNNNNNNNNNNNNNNNNNNNNNNNNNNNNNNNNNNNNNNNNNNNNNNNNNNNNNNNNNNNNNNNNNNNNNNNNNNNNNNNNNNNNNNNNNNNNNNNNNNNNNNNNNNNNNNNNNNNNNNNNNNNNNNNNNNNNNNNNNNNNNNNNNNNNNNNNNNNNNNNNNNNNNNNNNNNNNNNNNNNNNNNNNNNNNNNNNNNNNNNNNNNNNNNNNNNNNNNNNNNNNNNNNNNNNNNNNNNNNNNNNNNNNNNNNNNNNNNNNNNNNNNNNNNNNNNNNNNNNNNNNNNNNNGUAAUAUAUUAUAUUACAUUAUAAUACAUUAAUAUGUUAUUUUAAAUAAUUUAAUAUUAUGUUAUAUUAUGAGAACUUAAUUUAUACUAAUAAUUAUAAUAUUUUAUACUUUUAUUAUUGUAUUAUACUAUAAAUAUAAUAUAUAUUACAUUAUAUCAUAAUACAUUAAUAUGUUAUGUUAAAUAAUUUAAUAUUAUGUUAUAUUACCAAAUAUUAAUUUACUCUAAUAAUUAUAUUACUAUUAUGCUAUAUCAAUAUAAUAUUAUUUUAUAUUACAAUAAUAUUAUACUAUAUCGUAUAUUUAUGUAUUAAUUUAUGUUAUGUUUUAUUAUGUUCUGUUGUAUAAUACUAUGCAAUGUUCUUUAUGGUAAUCUUGUCGUAUAAAAGUACUUUCUCAGUUUGUUUACCAAACACAAAACAAAGUACCACAGCACUUUACGAAUGUAGUUACCAAACAGCAAACAGCUUUUUAUAACAGCUCUACUUCCAA